GGAGCUUUAGCUCAGUUGGUUAGAGCAGCGGACUCAUAACCCGCCGGUCCUCGGUUCAAGCCCGAGAGGCUCCACUA
This 77-nucleotide transfer RNA is filed under the name Fibrobacter sp. UWH3. RNAcentral describes it as "tRNA-Met". It matches the Rfam family "tRNA". From Rfam's summary of the family: Transfer RNA (tRNA) molecules are approximately 80 nucleotides in length. Their secondary structure includes four short double-helical elements and three loops (D, anti-codon, and T loops). Further hydrogen bonds mediate the characteristic L-shaped molecular structure. tRNAs have two regions of fundamental functional importance: the anti-codon, which is responsible for specific mRNA codon recognition, and the 3' end, to which the tRNAs corresponding amino acid is attached (by aminoacyl-tRNA synthetases). tRNAs cope with the degeneracy of the genetic code in two manners: having more than one tRNA (with a specific anti-codon) for a particular amino acid; and 'wobble' base-pairing, i.e. permitting non-standard base-pairing at the 3rd anti-codon position. The record is from RNAcentral. RNAcentral also lists the same sequence under 1 other name. Lineage: Bacteria; Pseudomonadati; Fibrobacterota; Fibrobacteria; Fibrobacterales; Fibrobacteraceae.